Molecule: ribosomal RNA, 301 nt
Filed under: uncultured bacterium
Lineage: Bacteria
Description: partial 16S ribosomal RNA
Rfam family: Bacterial small subunit ribosomal RNA
Source: RNAcentral
CAGCCGCCGCGGUAAAACGUAGGGUGCGAGCGUUAAUCGGAUUUACUGGGCGUAAAGCGUGCGCAGGCGGCCCGUUAAGACAGGUGUGAAAUCCCUGGGCUCAACCUAGGAAUUGCGCUUGUGACUGGCGGGCUCGAGUACGGUAGAGGGGGGUGGAAUUCCUGGUGUAGCAGUGAAAUGCGUAGAGAUCAGGAGGAACACCGAUGGCGAAGGCAGCCCCCUGGGCCUGUACUGACGCUCAUGCACGAAAGCGUAGGGAGCAAACAGGAUUAGAUACCCCAGUAGUCCCUGUCUCUUAUAC